RNAcentral lists this long non-coding RNA (1328 nucleotides) under Heterocephalus glaber (naked mole-rat). RNAcentral's name for it is "lncRNA (ENSHGLG00000033898.1)". Lineage: Eukaryota; Metazoa; Chordata; Mammalia; Rodentia; Bathyergidae. The record is from RNAcentral.
GUGGGACUGCUUUGGGCUGCAAGAGCAUCUCAGACACUGACCUCCCCGUGUGCAGGCCCACGGUGCUGGUAGAAAGACCGUGGAUGGAGCCGUAGCAGAAGUGGAAGCCAGCGUGUCCAGGGUGGGGAGGGCCUGGGAUGAGGAGCACCAAGGGUCCUGACUGCUUCUUGUUCUGCCCAAUCCCUGGCCCAGUGGGAGAGGUCGCGUCACCUCCACCCUCCGCCCUCCACCCCUGAGACAGGCUGACCAGGCCAGGCUGGCUGCCUGCAGCAGACUGGUCUCUGUGCCCAGGGUCCCUACAGCCAUGGCCAGGAAAGCCCUUCCCUGGAGGACUCUCUUCCCUCACCGAGCACAGGAACCUGCUCACGGGUCAGAGUGAGCAGGUCUUCCUCAUGCCAGGCCCUGAGGCGGCUCUGCUGACCCCCACGUGGAGAGGCGCAUGGAAGCCAGGUGGCCCACUCCAGAGAGCUCCGUGGCUUCACUCACUGUAGAUCCAGCCACCUCUGGAAAGCCCCGCCUAUGACUGCAUGGGGGAUGGGGGGACAGCUAGACACAGCCAUGACAGCAAGUAUAGUGAAAAUAACCCUGCAUGAGGGCUGCACUGGGGCUGGUGGGGAGGCAGGGGGUAGGGAGAAGCCAGGCAGGACCUCCGGGAGGCUGGAGGCAGCCAGGAAGCCCUGUCACCAGGGGACACACCCAGAGCCCCCUGGUCAGGGAAUGUCUUCAGGCAGGGCCCUGCGGUGGGGGUCCGCAUGGCCAGGCGGCUCUUGGAGGGACCCCCAGAGCCCCGCCCUGGGAUCCACUGCUGGCUCGGGAGCUGCUCCCCCAAGUGACCCCACUUCCGACGUCUGUCUUCCUGCCAACUGAGCGCCACCCCCAGGCCACCCAGCCUUCCCCGGCCGGAGCCGAGGGCCGAUGCCAAGGCUGUCCCAGGUUCUCCUUGGCAGUCCUGCCGCCUCUCUGUCUUAGAUUUGCACAAACAGGACAAAGAACACAGCGUUCGCGUGGCUCCCUCACCCGCCUCCUGCUAAUGUGAGCAUCUUACAUAACCGAGGCACGUUUGUGGGGAGGGAAGAAAUGAAUACUGGAAAGACACUCUGAACACAAUGACAGAUGCUCCUCAGAUUUCACCAGCUUUUCCUCUGGACGUUAAACGGUCCUCCUCAGCCCCAGGCCCCAGUCCCACCCACCACAUCUCCUUUGUCUGCAAGCUUUCCUUGGUCUUCAUGGCUAUCAUUUUCCUACAUAUGUACAAAUACAUGUUUUAUGUCAAUGUUAUAUGUAAAUGGGUCUUCUCUUUACAUAUAUGUAAAACAAUUGCUGGUCCG